This 155-nucleotide non-coding RNA is filed under the name bovine gut metagenome. The record is from RNAcentral.
AUGAGUUAAGGAUCAAAAGGGAAUCAGGUGAGAAUCCUGAACAGACCCGCUGCUGUAAGCCCUCAAAAAGGGAUGUCCAUUACCACAAGUGCCACUGGCUGCAAAGCCGGGAAGGCGGACAUACCGGGGUAAGUCAGAAGACCUGCAAGACACGU